This 298-nucleotide ribosomal RNA is filed under the name Salmonella enterica subsp. enterica serovar Senftenberg. RNAcentral's name for it is "partial 23S ribosomal RNA". It matches the Rfam family "Bacterial large subunit ribosomal RNA", at positions 161 to 497 of the family's 2925-position model. Lineage: Bacteria; Pseudomonadati; Pseudomonadota; Gammaproteobacteria; Enterobacterales; Enterobacteriaceae. The record is from RNAcentral.
AAUCCAUAGGUUAAUGAGGCGAACCGGGGGAACUGAAACAUCUAAGUACCCCGAGGAAAAGAAAUCAACCGAGAUUCCCCCAGUAGCGGCGAGCGAACGGGGAGGAGCCCAGAGCCUGAAUCAGCAUGUGUGUUAGUGGAAGCGUCUGGAAAGGCGCGCGAUACAGGGUGACAGCCCCGUACACAAAAGCGCAUGUGCUGUGAGCUCGAUGAGUAGGGCGGGACACGUGGUAUCCUGUCUGAAUAUGGGGGGACCAUCCUCCAAGGCUAAAUACUCCUGACUGACCGAUAGUGAACCA